UAGAUGAAAGCUAGUUGGUUUUAGCGCUUAGCUGUUAACUAAGAGUUUGUAGGUUCGAAGCCUUCUCAUCUAG
Molecule: transfer RNA, 73 nt
Filed under: Notopterus notopterus (bronze featherback)
Lineage: Eukaryota; Metazoa; Chordata; Actinopteri; Osteoglossiformes; Notopteridae
Also listed under: 3 other names
Description: tRNA-Asn
Rfam family: tRNA
About the family: Transfer RNA (tRNA) molecules are approximately 80 nucleotides in length. Their secondary structure includes four short double-helical elements and three loops (D, anti-codon, and T loops). Further hydrogen bonds mediate the characteristic L-shaped molecular structure. tRNAs have two regions of fundamental functional importance: the anti-codon, which is responsible for specific mRNA codon recognition, and the 3' end, to which the tRNAs corresponding amino acid is attached (by aminoacyl-tRNA synthetases). tRNAs cope with the degeneracy of the genetic code in two manners: having more than one tRNA (with a specific anti-codon) for a particular amino acid; and 'wobble' base-pairing, i.e. permitting non-standard base-pairing at the 3rd anti-codon position.
Source: RNAcentral